Long non-coding RNA from Phyllostomus hastatus (greater spear-nosed bat), 670 nucleotides. RefSeq lists it as uncharacterized. Lineage: Eukaryota; Metazoa; Chordata; Mammalia; Chiroptera; Phyllostomidae. The transcript has 3 exons. The record is from RefSeq and is a predicted model, not a curated record.
CUCGUAGGCAUGCCAUCUGCUGCAUAACCAGAGGGGCGAGUUUUUGGAGCUGGAGGCAUUCCAUGGAUAAGGAACCUUUCCGACCCUUUCGUCCCAGACCUACAGGCAAGAAUCCAGCGUCUAAAACUUGGUGAUGCACACAGCUGUUUUCACUGACAGAGAGAAUACCACAAAGAGGAACAAGGAAAACUCAUGUACCUACAUCACGAUGACCAUGGACACCAUUAUUCCCCACCUACGAUGUGCCAGACACUUCAUGUGGUUUCACACAGUCAGCACUUUGCCUGUAUGCACAGACCACAGAUGAGCAGCCUCUCCCGUCACCAGCAUCCCCACCAGAGCGGCUCGCACAGCACAGCGGAUGAAUCCACGUGGGCACGUCACUCUGGUCCAAGUCCACAGUCCACACUAGGGCUCACUCCUGGGGUUGCGCAUCCUACGGGUCGGGACGACAGUAUAACGGCACGUGUCCACCAUCACAACAUCACACGGAGCAGUUCCACCGCCCUGAACAUCUCUGGGUUCCACCCAGUCAGCGCUCCCUCUGCCCAGCCCCUGGCAACCACUGAUCCUUUUUACUGUCUCCAUAGUUUUGCCUUUUCCAGAAUGUUAGAUAGUUGGAAUCAGACAGUUUAUAGCCUUUUCAGACUGGCUUCUUUCACUUAGUAAA